Molecule: ribosomal RNA, 273 nt
Filed under: uncultured bacterium
Lineage: Bacteria
Description: partial 16S ribosomal RNA
Rfam family: Bacterial small subunit ribosomal RNA
Source: RNAcentral
ACUCCUACGGGAGGCAGCAGUGGGGAAUAUUGCACAAUGGGCGCAAGCCUGAUGCAGCCAUGCCGCGUGUGUGAAGAAGGCCUUCGGGUUGUAAAGCACUUUCAGUCGUGAGGAAGGUAGUGUAGUUAAUAGCGCAUUUAUUGAUCGUUAGCGACAGAAGAAGCACCGGCUAACUCCGUGCCAGCAGCCGCGGUAAUACGGAGGGUGCGAGCGUUAAUCGGAAUUACUGGGCGUAAAGCGCAUGCAGGUGGUUUGUUAAGUCAGAUGUGAAAG